GGCCGCCCCUGGCGGGUCCCGCGGCUCCGGGAGCGCCGGGGGGUCCCCGGGCGGCCGGGAACGGGCUCGGAAGAGCCUUCGGACACAGAGAAAGGGGGUUUUGUGGUGCUGGAUCCCAGCGGAAAGAAGCGGCGCGGCGCCUGGGAAGCUAAUCUUAGAGUGGGCCGGGAAAUAGGCGCAGGCAGACAUCGCUAAUCGCCGAGGACGCGCUGCGAUAAGGGCCCGUUAUCGCGCUGCGGUGGCGGUGUCCGAUCGCUGUCAGCUCAGAGCAAGGCCAGGGCCAUCCAGGAGGGCAGGACCCAGUCUUGAGAACCGCUUUGGCGAGGGCUAGGGACACCUGUCACAACCGAAAGUGUUCAAUCAGUGGAAUAUCCUCCGGAUGUUAAAUGCCAGGCUAGCGAGAAGCCGCGCGCUUGGUUCAGGAAGUGUGCAGAUACAUCGUACAGCUUGUACACAGCAGCCUGAUGAGAGCUUUAUAAAUCACCUUAGAUCUUCCGAGUCCUUCGGAGAGCUGUGUGGCUGCUAUAACCCUCGAGUGCUGCUUACCACGGGACAAAUGAAGCCUUGGGGGUCUGGGAACAACCUCUCAGAAGCAGUAAAACCUUCUCUGCUAUCAACAACCCUCAUUCCCAAGUUAUCCAUAUGUAGGGAAGAUUCCAAUGAGUAGAAUUUGAUGGAUUUUGGGAUCCAUAAACGCCUACUGUGGAAUAUAGGAGGAAUCUAGCCUGCUCCAACCACGACCACCGAGGAAACACACUCCACUUAACUAAAAACAGGCCAUAAAGAUAUACAUAAACUUGUCUGUGAAUGCAGCCACCCAAAGUGAUGGUUCAGGUGUCAAAUGAUUGCACAGAAUGGUUAUGGCACAUCUGACAAGAAGGCCUACUGGACAUAGAUCUACCUAAUCAAAACCAUCCCACAAUUAGACAUGUGUUAGUGUAAUUACUAAUGAUUAGCAAAUCACGUCUGAACAUUUUUUUGCAAGAACUGUUGCUGUAAGCCUGACAGAUUAACCUCAUUUCACCUGCCUGGUGCUGAACCCUGUAAACCCAGUGGAUGUCUGUACAUACAUGGCAGUAUACUCUUGUCCCUGCUCUGCACCUGCAGGCUCCAGCCACUAUGCAGUGUCUUCUCUUUGAUUACUUGUCAAAAUACUCCAUCCUGGCAUCUCUCUUCCCUUCCUUCCCUUUCUCACCAAGGCAUUCAACUCACAGAGCUCUCUUUCUUGUCUGGAAAAAUAAAUAGGAGAAUGAAUCCAUGUUAGAACUAACUCAGCAAAAAAAUACUGCUUUGUGUCAAAUUUAAUGGGUUUCCUCUCCAGCUCAGUAUAUGGCUCUAAGACUAGCAGUGGCAGGAAGGAUGGGGAUAGGGAUGGGGAUGUUGAGGGCAGCAGCAGUGCCCAGGGCUGGGGGAGUGCAGGGUCAUUUCUUUCUCUGGCAGUGCUGGCUCAAAGUGCUUGUGUAACUGCAGGGUGCAGUGACAAGAGCAGCUUGAGCUGAUCAAAGGAUGCCUUUUAUCAGCUCCUGUUGGCUCUCAUGCUGUUGGUGAGUGCUGUUCCUUUACCUUUCUCUUCUUCUGUCCUACUUUGUGACCUGCCCAAGGGCAUAGGUUCCUACUGUCCCCUUCCAGCUUUCCCCCUGCCCCUUGCAUUAUCUCCCAUAAUCACUCCUUCACCUGGCUAAUCUGAAGGAAAAAUUGGGGGGGAGGCCAGCUUUCUGCUGAAUCAACCAACUCCCUCCACAGGCUGGGACUGUGACAGCUGAUGCGUGACAGUGUUUAUCUUCUCUGUUCAGUAUUUGGCCUGCCCAGAUUCCUGACCUGCCUCUACCCAGCUGCAGGAAGGGCAGUGCUGUUGCAAUGGCAAAGCGUUAGGGUUUGUUAGGGUUACAUGGGCAGAAACUCAAGGGAGAGCUCAUAAAUACUGACAUGCACUGAAGCGGUGCGCUCUGCUGCAGAAAAAAGACAAGACAAUCUUAAAAAGCACUUCUGCAUUAUUUAAGACAUGAACAGCUUGUCUUUCUUAACUCUUACCAGCUGGGUUUGAAGCAGUACAGCUACAACAAAAGGUACAACAUGAACUACACAGUAUUUUUCAGCCUGCAGUAUUUGAUUCCUUCAAGAUUUUGGGCUGUUGGUGGAGAGUUCUGGGAAAAUGACCAAGGCAAGCUUGUUGCCAGUAGGCUUCCACUUGCCAUAUGCAUACCUGCACAUGUACUGAAGAACAGUAUCUGGCUUUCAAAUAAUAGUUGUUCUCCUCAGCAGGCUCCAGCAGCAGCAGCAGCACUGGACUCAACUUACAUCACAGGGUCUCAAAUAAAAGAGUCAAUAUGAA
Molecule: long non-coding RNA, 2332 nt
Organism: Parus major (Great Tit)
Lineage: Eukaryota; Metazoa; Chordata; Aves; Passeriformes; Paridae
Exons: 2
Source: RefSeq, a predicted model, not a curated record